GCAGCAGGCUGUUCCAUCGUUCCGGGAAAUCGGAAAGGAAAGUCCGGACAACGCAGAGCACCAUGCUUCCUAACUGGAAGAUAUCCGCGAGGGUAUAGCAGUGUAACAGAAAAUAACCGUCGCGCCACUGGUGUGACAAGGGUGAAAAGGCGAGGUAAGAGCUCACCGGUCCUGAAGGCGACUUCAGGAGCCGUACGCCUCAUGGGUUGUAAGACCAUGUAUACCGGCAAUGAGGGCUGCUCGUCCGAUGCCGGGGGGUAGGUCGCUGGAUCCUGUCAGUGAUGACGGGACAAGAUAAAUGAUGGAAAACGUUUCAGAUUUCUCUUGCAGAAGCAUGAAGCGUCACAGAAUCCGGCUUACAGGCCGGCUGCAAAA
This 375-nucleotide RNase P RNA is filed under the name Bacteroidales bacterium. RNAcentral describes it as "RNase P RNA component class A". It matches the Rfam family "Bacterial RNase P class A". From Rfam's summary of the family: Ribonuclease P (RNase P) is a ubiquitous endoribonuclease, found in archaea, bacteria and eukarya as well as chloroplasts and mitochondria. Its best characterised activity is the generation of mature 5'-ends of tRNAs by cleaving the 5'-leader elements of precursor-tRNAs. Cellular RNase Ps are ribonucleoproteins. The record is from RNAcentral. Lineage: Bacteria; Pseudomonadati; Bacteroidota; Bacteroidia; Bacteroidales.